This is a long non-coding RNA of Ostrea edulis (European flat oyster), 1258 nucleotides long. RefSeq lists it as uncharacterized. Lineage: Eukaryota; Metazoa; Mollusca; Bivalvia; Ostreida; Ostreidae. The record is from RefSeq and is a predicted model, not a curated record. The transcript has 2 exons.
CGUCCUUUGUCACUUGAUUUUGUCAGAUUUCUGCAUGUUGCACGUUUUUCAUGGGUCUGGGAAUAUGCGAUUACUUUUGAGUUUUAACUUUCCUUUUGCAGUAAACGACUGAUGUACUUACCCAUCUAAAUGCGGCGAAAUUUUAGAGGGUUAUGUUUGAAUUCUUCACUUAGUACCAAUUAAAUUACUGGCUUUGAUUUUUGAAAUGUUUAUAAUUACCGAGGGGGGUUGUUAUAUCGCACCUUGCUACGUCAUUUUUCGAAGCUUCAUUGAAUGCUAUUUAAUUGUGUGUGUGUUUGUGUGUGUGUGUGAGUGUGUAAACUUUAAACAAAGAAAAUAUCGAGUUUGUUAAAACUUUGUUCCUACGAACUCUCGUGCUUUGCUGAAAUUAAAAUUAUUUCCCCAAAAAUACUGCUAUGUUCAUAGUGUGUAUAAGCAGUCUUCACGAAAAACUUUGUGAAGCACAGGCCCUUCGGGCCUCCUAGUACAUACAUGCCAACUUUCCCGAUUUGUGCGGGAUUCUCCCGAUUUGAAGCAGUUGAAAAGGCAAAUCCCGAUAUCCCGAUCGGGAUUGCAAAAAUACCCCGAAAUCCCGAUUUUCUAAAAAUAUCUCCCAUUUUACGACAACAAAUCCCCAUUUCCAACCGGAAUUUGAAAUCCCGCGUCAUUUCUGAACUGGCCAAUCAGAAAUCGGGACAAUAGUCAGCCAUUGCUGUUUACCUGUGUCGCAUGGUAUCGGGGUGAUGUAAUUUACCUGGUCUGCCUGUGUCGGGGUGCUUAUUGGACAGUGCGAAGCAUGUUUUGAUAGUAAUUAAUCGGGACGGAUUUCAAAUUGACAUAUCCUUUACACAAACGUGAAUGACAACGAUAAUAGUGUCACCAUGCACCACCAAACAAUCGGACAUUCCCGAUUUUUUGCCUCUCGCUGACAGCAUCCAAAAUAUGCAAUAAGAUGUCAUGGGUGCAAAGGUUUUGUUCGCAAACUUCAUAGCAGGGCAGACUACUCCUUUUCUGGUUGCAAUGCAGAUUGUUCCACCAGACUCUGCAAGCCCAUGUUUACAGACAACCAAGAUCGCCUUUGUAGUCGUACCUAAAUGCAUGUGCUUCAAUUUAAAUUUUGAUAUAUAGACCAGCCAAUGUGUAUAUGGUGUAAAAGGAUGCAACUUUAAGUAUUAUUUGAUAUUUGUAUGUGACUUGUUGGAGAGGAUUUUUUGCUGAAUAGAUAAUUUUAAUAAAAUACUUAUGUAUGUCUUUCAAA